CCCCGUCCUUGGCGCCGCGACCCAGGCCCCUGCAUCCGGGGUUCCGGGCGCGUCCCGCGUGGGGGGGGGGUCUGAUUCUCCUGCAGGCUGGAAUUGGAGAACUACCAUCGUAGUCUCUAGAUGCAUUCUGUUUUUACUUUGCAGAAAGGGAAAGCACCUCUGCUUUGGGGCCAGGGAACGAGAAUCUCCACGUCGCCAUCACUGCGAGGGUCCUUGGAUUUCUGCAUGCUGGGCAUUGGAGUGUAACUCUUUUCAGAUAUGUCUUCUUCUCCCAGGAAAGGUGCGGUGGCCUCAGUGAUGUACACUGUGGUCACCCUUAUGCUGAAUCCCUUCAUCUGCAGUCUGAGGAACAGGGACAUUAAAAACACUUUAAAGAGG
This 378-nucleotide long non-coding RNA is filed under the name Heterocephalus glaber (naked mole-rat). RNAcentral describes it as "lncRNA (ENSHGLG00000025441.2)". The record is from RNAcentral. Lineage: Eukaryota; Metazoa; Chordata; Mammalia; Rodentia; Bathyergidae.